UCACUACUUGCCACUAACUCCUCGAGUGAAAUGGUUAUUUCUAUAAAAAAAACCUACCAUGCACAUGCGAUGGCAUAAAGAAGGUAUCUGUGAGAACGAUGAGCUAAUGGUGCACCCUUUAGAUGAGGAUGCUUGGAAGGCUCUCAACACGUUUGAUCCAGACUUUGCAGCUAAAUCGAGGAAUGUUCGAAUCGACCUCGCGACCGAUGGAUCCACACCUUUUGGUCAAAUAGCAUCAUCAUACUCAUGUUGGCCCAUCUUUGUUAUUCCAUACAACCUUCCACCUGCUCUUUGUAUGAAGUAUGAAUUUAUAUUUCUUUGCUUGAUCAUACCUGGCCCGAACCAUCCUAGAAAGAAACACAAUGUCAUUUUAAAACCCUUGAUUGAAGAGUUGAAGGAGCUUUGGAAAGGUGUCGAAGCAUACAAUGUUUUUAAAAAACAGAUAUUCAAACUUCGAGUCAUGUAUUUGUGGUCGGUUCAUGACUUCAUGGGGUAUGCUAUUUUUGUCGGAUGGAGUACACAUGAUAGAUUGACAUGUCCAUAUUCCGGUUUAGAUACAGAUUGCUUCCGUCUUGCUACAGAUUGCUUCUGUCUUGCUCAUGGUAGAAAUAUAACUUAUUUCGAUUAUCAUCGACGCUGGUUGCCUAGGAAACACCCCUUUAGGAGUGACAAGACCCCUUUAGAAUCGCACUAGCUCCACAUGCUACAUAGGGAACAACUUAGGGCGCUGUCAAGCACGACGUUUAGGUAAGAGUAUUGUUUGAAACUAACAUUUUAUGAUUGUUUUAUACUAACUUUAUUUUCGAUGUUGGACAGAGAUGCUAUCGUGUGGAACCUGUGGCUCAAGAGCAUGCAGAUCGAGCAUUAGAGAAAAUACAAAGAAGGUGUGCAAGGAUGCAUUUUCCAAUGCUCGUCUACAAGUUGUAAACACAUACAUGAAGCGUCGAGAGCAUUCUACAACAACUUUCAACAAUAUUGGGAUGUCUACUUGAUUGUGGACCAGUACAUGGAGGUAACUCUUCCAUGGAUGGAACACCGACCGCAGGCUUAUAGGGCUUUGUGUGAGAUAUGGGCUUCGCUAGAGUGGAUUGAGAAGUCAAACAUGAAUCGACAUAGGUAGCGCCAUCAGCAGAACGAGGACGAUGAUGAGGUCGUAGUCAAACAUACCUAUGGGGCUGAUUGACACAUUUCGUUGGCAAAACUAAUGAAGACUUACGGGCAGGAGAUGGUAGGAAGUAUGGAGAAGACUAUGAUUGGCAAGGAGCGCCUACCAUCGACGCUGAAAUUGUGCAUUCUGUUAGAGGAAAGGUCCAUGGACGGCGGGUUGUGGUAGUAGUCGUAGUCGGCGCUCGAGCAUGGAGGAGGCUAUGAGGGAGCAGCAAGAAAGGUUUUGUGAAGAGCUACGACAGGAGAAAAUGGCAUUCGUCCAACAACAAUCAGAGUACAUGGCUGCUUACAACGCACAGACGCAACAAGCAAUGAACGUGAAUGUCUUAUUUAUUCUCAACACGGUCAUAUAUUUGUGUUGUAACUAAUAUACUGUAUUUUGCAACAGUCUUGGUUUCCAGUGCAGGCACAACUGUUGGUGU
Long non-coding RNA from Zea mays, 1589 nucleotides. RefSeq lists it as uncharacterized. The transcript is spliced from 4 exons. The record is from RefSeq and is a predicted model, not a curated record. NCBI's taxonomy places the organism in Eukaryota, Viridiplantae, Streptophyta, Magnoliopsida, Poales, Poaceae.